RNAcentral lists this ribosomal RNA (487 nucleotides) under uncultured Sulfitobacter sp. RNAcentral's name for it is "bacterial SSU rRNA". It matches the Rfam family "Bacterial small subunit ribosomal RNA", at positions 398 to 903 of the family's 1533-position model. Lineage: Bacteria; Pseudomonadati; Pseudomonadota; Alphaproteobacteria; Rhodobacterales; Roseobacteraceae. The record is from RNAcentral.
CGCGUGAGUGAUGAAGGCCUUAGGGUCGUAAAGCUCUUUCGCCUGUGAUGAUAAUGACAGUAGCAGGUAAAGAAACCCCGGCUAACUCCGUGCCAGCAGCCGCGGUAAUACGGAGGGGGUUAGCGUUGUUCGGAAUUACUGGGCGUAAAGCGCACGUAGGCGGAUUGGAAAGUUGGGGGUGAAAUCCCGGGGCUCAACCCCGGAACUGCCUCCAAAACUAUCAGUCUAGAGUUCGAGAGAGGUGAGUGGAAUUCCAAGUGUAGAGGUGAAAUUCGUAGAUAUUUGGAGGAACACCAGUGGCGAAGGCGGCUCACUGGCUCGAUACUGACGCUGAGGUGCGAAAGUGUGGGGAGCAAACAGGAUUAGAUACCCUGGUAGUCCACACCGUAAACGAUGAAUGCCAGUCGUCGGGCAGUAUACUGUUCGGUGACACACCUAACGGAUUAAGCAUUCCGCCUGGGGAGUACGGUCGCAAGAUUAAAACUCA